This 229-nucleotide ribosomal RNA is filed under the name uncultured bacterium. RNAcentral describes it as "partial 16S ribosomal RNA". It matches the Rfam family "Bacterial small subunit ribosomal RNA", at positions 568 to 796 of the family's 1533-position model. The record is from RNAcentral.
UACGUAGGCGGAAUGCUAAGUAUCUUGUGAAAUCCCUCGGCUCAACCGAGGAAUUGCAGGGUAAACUGGCAUUCUUGAGGCAGGUAGAGGUAACUGGAACUCAUGGUGGAGCGGUGGAAUGCGUAGAUAUCAUGGGGAACGCCAAAGGUGAAGACAAGUUACUGGGCCUGUCCUGACGCUGAGGUACGAAAGCGUGGGUAGCAAACAGGAUUAGAUACCCUGGUAGUCC